This 189-nucleotide non-coding RNA is filed under the name uncultured Desulfobacteraceae bacterium. The record is from RNAcentral. Lineage: Bacteria; Pseudomonadati; Thermodesulfobacteriota; Desulfobacteria; Desulfobacterales; Desulfobacteraceae.
UUGAAUCAGUGACAUUCAGGCGCUUGUUUCAAGCUUAAUAGGGAACCCCGUUAAAGUCGGGGACGGGCCCGCCGCUGUGAGCGCGUACGAAAGCUGUGUUUCGCCACUGUCCCGGUUUUGGGGAUGGGAAGGCUCAGCCGGUAGGAUGAUGCGCAAGUCAGAAGACCUGCCUGAAUGAAAAGACGGCGU